GAUGAACGCUGGCGGCGUGCCUAAUACAUGCAAGUCGAGCGAACGGACGAGAAGCUUGCUUCUCUGAUGUUAGCGGCGGACGGGUGAGUAACACGUGGAUAACCUACCUAUAAGACUGGGAUAACUUCGGGAAACCGGAGCUAAUACCGGAUAAUAUUUUGAACCGCAUGGUUCAAAAGUGAAAGACGGUCUUGCUGUCACUUAUAGAUGGAUCCGCGCUGCAUUAGCUAGUUGGUAAGGUAACGGCUUACCAAGGCAACGAUGCAUAGCCGACCUGAGAGGGUGAUCGGCCACACUGGAGCUUAGACACGGUCCAGACUCCUACGGGAGGCAGCAGUAGGGAAUCUUCCGCAAUGGGCGAAAGCCUGACGGAGCAACGCCGCGUGAGUGAUGAAGGUCUUCGGAUCGUAAAACUCUGUUAUUAGGGAAGAGCAUAUGUGUAAGUAACUGUGCACAUCUUGACGGUACCUAAUCAGAAAGCCACGGCUAACUACGUG
Molecule: ribosomal RNA, 497 nt
Filed under: uncultured bacterium
Lineage: Bacteria
Description: partial 16S ribosomal RNA
Rfam family: Bacterial small subunit ribosomal RNA
Source: RNAcentral